GGGCCCGUAGCUUAGUAAGGUAGAGCACCCGGCUCUUAACCGGGGGGUCGCGGGUUCGAAUCCCGCCGGGCCCG
This 74-nucleotide transfer RNA is filed under the name Thermofilum sp. ex4484_82. Its description in RNAcentral is "tRNA-Lys". It matches the Rfam family "tRNA". Rfam says of the family: Transfer RNA (tRNA) molecules are approximately 80 nucleotides in length. Their secondary structure includes four short double-helical elements and three loops (D, anti-codon, and T loops). Further hydrogen bonds mediate the characteristic L-shaped molecular structure. tRNAs have two regions of fundamental functional importance: the anti-codon, which is responsible for specific mRNA codon recognition, and the 3' end, to which the tRNAs corresponding amino acid is attached (by aminoacyl-tRNA synthetases). tRNAs cope with the degeneracy of the genetic code in two manners: having more than one tRNA (with a specific anti-codon) for a particular amino acid; and 'wobble' base-pairing, i.e. permitting non-standard base-pairing at the 3rd anti-codon position. Lineage: Archaea; Thermoproteati; Thermoproteota; Thermoprotei; Thermofilales; Thermofilaceae. The record is from RNAcentral. RNAcentral also lists the same sequence under 1 other name.